GAUUGACAGGUCCUAUGGAGGAGGAAGCAGAGACUCUGCUCUCCUCGUUUGGAUUAAUUCUGAUAUAAUAACUGUUGGUUUAUUUAUCGGUGCAACAGCAGAACAUUUUCCACAGACAGUUUUCCUGCCCGUUGGCUUGUUUUAACCAGUUUUCUGCCUUCGGCUGAUUCUACCAGCAGACACUGAAAGGACUGAUAGUUCGAGUGAAAGUAGCAAUUCCUCCUUAAGGUCAGCGAUUGCAGCAUCUGAGGGCCUCUUCAAAAGAAGACGUAGCUGAUGAAGGCGUUCUGGAGCAGGACCAGAAAGACCACGACCAAGCAGCCUUGAGAUAUUAGGCAGCGUCUCCUUCAGGUCCCUCUCUAUCUCCCCACACAUCCACCAACCACUGGAACACAUCUCCAAAGUUCUGCUGGGCCAGCUCGGCUUCCCCUCAGAAGAAGUGCUGCCACCUGCCAGAUGAAGGAGCCUUUUGACAGGCAGCUGGCAUCGUGAUUGGACUGUACUUUGGUCUGUUCCAAUCCAGCUUCAGCUCCAGAGACGGCAGGCGGGACGAGUCAACGGAGGCCGGGUGGAUGAAGGCAUGCAGCUGAGUACAAUCCAGAAAACAACAGAGGAGGAGUG
Long non-coding RNA from Amphiprion ocellaris (clown anemonefish), 621 nucleotides. The record is from Ensembl. Lineage: Eukaryota; Metazoa; Chordata; Actinopteri; Pomacentridae.